RNAcentral lists this transfer RNA (74 nucleotides) under Candidatus Omnitrophota bacterium. RNAcentral's name for it is "tRNA-Arg". It matches the Rfam family "tRNA". From Rfam's summary of the family: Transfer RNA (tRNA) molecules are approximately 80 nucleotides in length. Lineage: Bacteria; Pseudomonadati; Candidatus Omnitrophota. The record is from RNAcentral.
GCGCCCGUAGCUCAAUCGGAUAGAGCAUCGGCCUUCUAAGCCGAGGGUUGUGUGUUCAAAUCACACCGGGCGCA